AUAAGUGUAAUUGAUUGACUGACUACAUAUAGUUGAGAAGAAAAUUUAGACACAAACCUUAGCAAGUUUCAUUUUUAGCCAGUAACUAGACAGUUUGAUGGUUGAUUGUCGUUUUUUCUUAGUCCCUUGAUUUUUCCGUAACCCACUUUUGAUGAUUGAAGUAUAACCAAGUCUCAAUUACCUAAUCACUCAAACUCCAUACUUGCCGCUGAAUGGUUUUCAGGUAGUUUAUUUGACAGGACACCUGAGUUCAAAUCUAAGGGGUGGUAGAGGCUAAAAAAUUGAUUUUGGCCUUUGCUCACACUCCUAACUUCUUAAAGAGAAAAGGAAAAAUUUCCAGACUUCUCAUACCAUCACAAGAAACCUUGCCUGUUGAAUCACAUUUGUUUUCAAUAUCUUAUUUUCUUUAUCUCUUGGUUUCGUUGAGAGACUAUUUUGACGAUUUAAGAAUACUCAUUUUCAUUUGAUCUAAUGUUACCUUCACGCAUUGAUUUUCAAAUAUUGAUUUUCAAAUUAUGUUCUUUUGAUGGUUGCAAAAGAAAUUUACCUUCUACUUGAUUAAGCAAUGUGAGUGCGUGCGUGUAUAUAUAUUUGUAUUUUUAUUGCUCUCUAUCUUAUCUGACUGACUUUCAUCUCUAUAUCAUAGGAUUCUGAGGUGCUUUGUAAACAUAAGAAAUGUGGACUUGCAAUUUUGUUCUUUAUCUUGGAGGCUGUAUCAGUUGUACUGGAUAUAUUUGAAAAAAGCAAGGGGGCUUCUCUUGCUGCGUUCCUUUUUUCAGCAUUUGGUUUUGCUAUGACUAUUUAUGUUUGUUUUUUGGAAAGAACUUUCACUGCUAUCAAACCACAAGCUGACAGGCAACUUGGGAUAUUAGAUAUUGCCUUCUCUGUGCUCCAAUUGAUUGCUACAUUGAUUCAUCUUAUUCUUUUAGUUUCUGAUGCGAAGUAUAAUUAUAAUGCAUCUGUUCUUUUUCCACUAGCCUUUGCUAUCAUUGCUGUCCUGUUUGUUUUUAAAGAGAGAGAUACAUCUACUGACUCGUCUCGACAAGAUUUGUCUCCGUCAGCUAAUGAUUCUCUACUUAGUACUCCUUUUGAGCUUUAUCUGAGUGGGAUUACGGUGGAAGGUGACAACUCUGAGAAUAACUUACGCUUGUCUGGACAAGUCCAAGGUGGUGGAUAUUUUUAUCUAUAAAACACAAUUUUAUGACCUUUGCUGGAAUUUAAUAUGACUCAUUGCAAACUCAGAGGGCCCUGGGAUUGAGAAAUUUCGGAUUAUUGGCGAAGCUAAACCUGGAGGGAAACUUCUUGGAUAUCCCGUAAAUGGGACUACUCUCUGUACAUUUCAGGUGAAUUUUUGUGUUAACUUGUAAUAGAAUUGAAAUAUGUUAAGGCACUUUUGUACAUAAUGCAUUAACCUUUUGCAUUUUAACAAUUUAUAUAUUAGUGGAUUCGUUUUCUUGAAGAUGAUACCAGGCACUCUAUUGAGGGUAAGCAUUGAAAUGUGUUUUGACUUCUUGGUACUGUGCUAGUUAAAAGAGUAUUUGACAAGUCAUAGCCUUUUAUUUCAGGAGCCACAGAACCAGAAUAUGUCGUCACAGCUGAUGAUAUUAAUAAACUGAUAGCUCUUGAGCACACGACAAUAGAUGAUGAAGGACACGAGGUACAAAUUUGGAAUAAUGGUUUUUAUGAAUGAUAUCUUUGUUAUUGAAAGUUCAUGUUUCAACAGCUACAACUCAAGACUGUGUAGUUCAAAAUAUGUGUAUACAUAAUUUAAUGAUAUUUAUGUCAUACUCAGCGUUUUUUUUUUGCCUUUUGAGCGUGAACAAGCAAGUAUUUAAGCUACCGCAGGUACUUAGUGUUGAUAGAUUUGAAGGAAUUAAAGGAGAUCUAGAGUUGACUAAUUAAUUCUUUGGAUAUCCUGAAGUUUAGGGAUUGUGUUACUCUGUGCUGAGUUAGGAAAUAACUUUUUGAUAUUCUUUCCCUUUCCUAGAAGCAUAAGUUAGCCUAAGUUUCUGGUGUAAUAACUUUUACAUGUAUUUAUAACAACAAUAUAAUUCAAUUUUUCAGAAUUGUUUCACUCAACAUUUUCCCACUACAAUUAAUUUAUAAAGGUAGUAUUUUAUUUUUGUCAUCAAAAUGAAAUCUACUGACUUCUUAGAGUUCAUUAAGCCGGGUGAGAAGCAGUUGAAUUUACGCAAAAAAUCAGGUCUCAGUUCUUACCUCGUGAUAGUGAAUUUGGUAUAUAAAUAUUCAAAAUUCAUAUGAUUGUAUUCCUGGUCAUAGGGUUUAUUACUGUUUUUUGACAAGAGUAGUUUAAUUAGUCUCAUUUUGUAUUCAUUUCCUCACAUUGUCUACAAUAUUAUUUAUUCCUUGUUAUAUAUGAAGCUUAUUUUUUAAUCAUUCUUCAAUUUAACAAUUUUUUUUUCAAGAGACAUAAGUUGCAUCUGUUGGUUUUAGUGCCGUCCUGAUUAUUUCUGUUAUGGCAUUUGAUGUUAUCAGGGAAAAUUGGUCACUGUUUUCGCAAAUGAACAUUCCAAAAUCAAGUGUGGUAAGUGGAUAUGAUUUUAGAUUGAUGGUUGUCAAACCUAAAUAUAUUUAAAGUUAUGUUUGUAAUAUUUAUGACUCAAUAUUAUCAUGUUCUCCAUGUGUGGAGUGGAGUUCUGUUUCCAGGAUGAAGCAUCAAGCUCAUGCUCAAGUCCUAAGCUUUUUGAAUGUUGGAUCUUUAUGAGCACAUAAUGGCUUCCAUAAAGGAUAAAAAUAAUUAUGUGCCAUAUUUCAUGAAAUUUCUUCUUUAUACAAGUUACUGGUGCUUUCAAUGUUCAAACUGCCCUGACUUUUCACUAGAUAAUUUUUGAGCCUCCACUGAUGUUGUUCUGGGUUGUAGUACUAUGCAGUUGUAUAAUAAUGUCUUUGCACUUCUUCUGACGUUGAAACAAUGCACCACUCAGUAUUGUAGAUAUGCUAAUGAAAUUGUUAAUAUCACAAUUGCAGCUGUAAGAGGUCUUGUUGAAUAAGUUGAUAAACAAUGAUUUAUGAAACUUAUAGAUGUGUAUUUUAUAUUGGUUAAAUUAAGGUUGUGUGCACAUUGUUAUAGCCAUCUGACUGUGGCUUUGAACUGAAAAUGUGAGAGUAGUUUUUGUAGAACGUGAAUUCCCAUCCACCGAAUUAUUUAGAGAGAGAACAGUUGCUUGAGGUGACUUGAAAGACUAACGCUUGAUUUGACACCAGAUAUUGUGUUAGCUGUCACUCACAACUUUUGCAUACUAAAAGAGUUAAUUACAUUUUAGCAUGGCUACAGAGUUGAUUGGUAAUUGUAUGAUAACUUUAUAAUUAGUUUGAAUUUUGCCUCAGAAAUUUUGUUGUUUGUGUAGUUUUCUGAUGUGCUUCUUUGCACGGCUGCAGAUCCGGAUAUGCAGAGCAAGGUUGACAUGCACAUCUCCAGAGGGCAAGCCGCUUUCAGAGUUCUUUUGCUGGUAGGUUUUCUUUUAGCCAUUAAAUGUUACACGAAAAUGUGAAGAGUAUUGGAUAACACAAAUGUUUUGCUACAACUUCAACAGAUUAAUUCUUCUGAGAAUACUUGGGAGCCAGCAACUCUAAGCUUUACACAGUCUAGAUUCCACGUCAAGAUCAAUAGCACAGAUGUUGUGAUAUCUGAAGGGGAUCUUUUUAAUAUAAUUGAGGUAUGGUACCUUACAGUUGAUGCAGUAUCCAUGAAACAACAAGGUUAUCAAUUUUCAUUCUAAAUGCUUCGGUUAUACUGUAAUUCAAAUGGUCAGCUUGUUGAACAAGGUCUGACUACAAAAUUCAUUCUAUUUAUUGUGUUAACAAUUCAUACUAGUAGCUAAGGGUGGGCUAAAAGACUGAACAUCAAACUGAACCGACCAAACCAACUGUUUUUGUACUUCAUCCAGUUUGCUUUAUUUUAUUUUACAAGAACUCAUAAUUAGUUUGAUUCGGUUCAAUACUAGACUGUAUGGACAACUGAGGAUUGCUCAAGAACAGACUGAAAACACAAAAUUAAUCCAAAUCUGUUUCAUUCAGUUUGGUUCAUUAUUUGGAUCAGUCAGAAUUUUCUGAACCAAUUGAUUUUCAGUAAAAAUAAAGCCAAAUCAAAAUCAAAAGCUAGCCCAUAAAUAGGUUGCAUCAAGUUUUGGGCUGGUGUUAUCAUGUGGAAGGUUAAUGUGCACUGUGAGUGAGUUGGCUUUGAUACCAUAUGGACCAUGGAUCUAACUAAUACUCAAAAGAGUUCGUGAGUUGAGUUGCCUCAAGCUCAUAUACUGAGCCCAUGAUUUAUUCUUAGUGUGACAUAAUCAUAAUCUCUCUAAGACAAGCGACAAGGUAUUACGACUGUGAGGAUGUGUAUGGGUAAAGACGAUUAGGCACGAGAUUUCUGCUCUACCUUUUGCUUCACUAAAAUAUUAUUUUUGGAAAUCGUAGGAUCAUGUGAAAAGGAUUUGAUUUUGCUUUCAACAAAAUGUUCAAUUAUCUAUGUGUAAGACUUCACAUAUUUUUUCCAUCUUAUUGAUAUUGCAGAUCGAAAUUCCUAUUGGGCUCUCAAGACAAUUUAUUUUAAGACGCUUGGAUGGUGAAUCCCAUUAUUAUAUCACAAAUAAUGACCGGUAAUAUAUUACUUGCAUACAUUUUAUGUUUGCAUGGAUUGAUUGGAUAGCCUUGAUUUAAUUUCUAAUAAAUAAUUAUUACAAAUUUUUUAUGGUGAAGCUUUUAAUAGAGUAGACUUCAUUGUCAAUUGUUUACACCCAUAGUUUGGCAUACCUAGCUACUGGUUAAAAACAUGAGAGAGAAAGGACCAACUGUUGCCACUUCCACUAAAGGCUAGAAAAGCAGAGAUGAGGUUGAAAUUGAAUUUGAGUCCUCAUUAUGAUGUUUAUCAUUCUCUAUUGUGCUAUUGAUGCUAAAUUACAAUUGUUUAUUUUGAAAGAAAAUAAUUGGAGAAAGACAAAAGAAGCUAGAACAGAGCAAAGGGUUUUCCUUAGACCAUUUAUUAUGCCUUGCAGAGUUUUCUACUUUCUUUCACCAUAAAAUUAUGCAUGUGGGACUUCAUUUUUUUGUAAACUCUGAUCGUGGCUUUCUUCGCAAGAUUCUGAAGAUCAGUAUUUAUCUGGUGUUUAUUUACUAAUUAAUGUCAUGCUUCUAAUGUGAUGCAUUUGUUUUAUUUUUUUUUUCCUUGGUAGAAUGCGGGAUACUCUUGUGCUAACCAUGAGAACGUUCCGAAGAAUGGUACAUUCUUUCAUAAUAAUGUGUAGUUAGCAAUGUCCCAAACUUUCUUCUUGUUUGGUCUCUGUUUUAAUCUUUCUGCUCAUAAUUUAAAGGAUCUACUUCCUGCAUAAAAUUACAAUAUAAAAUUUUUUUAAAAAAAUAUACAUGACAAUAAAAAUUCAAGUUAAAGAAGUACAAAAAUUCACAACAAUAAAUUACAACAAAUUUGGAAAAAGAGAUUGAUAGCUUUUUGUCAGGUUAAUGUUUGUUUAAAGACAUUUUUCUAAAUGGUUUAAUUUCAGGUAUUGCCACCCACUGUAGCAGCAUUCAUUCCAACUGAUACAGAGCUAGUUACUUAUCAUCUAAUGAACAAGGUGUCUGCUCGUAGUUAUGGAGAACUUGAUCGAUUUAUCAAAGACAUAGAACUUUAUGAUUAUGAACCUUCAGAGCUCUCAAGUUUAGCGUACCACUCUGGUCACGACAAGAAGUACUUCUUCACACGUUUAAGCCAACCUGCAAGGACUGUUAAUAGACAAGCUCAGGGGGGAUAUUGGAGGAAAACGGGAAUGCCAUCUUACGUCAACGACAAAGAUGGAGAUGCAGUCGCUACAAAGACUUCACUGACUUACUUUAAGAAGCAGGAUCCAACAUCAAAGCCAGAGAAGACUCAUUGGCUCAUGAAGGAAUACAUGCUUCUCAAGAGUCAACAACCAAAUCAGAACGAUGAAACUCCAUGGACCCUCUGUGUUCUCUACGAUUUCCAAAGAAAAAGAAGAGAGGGGCCUUUUAAAAGAACAGAGAAAAACCUCUGGCGCCGAAACAACUGUUAAUAGACAAGCUCAAAUAGCUGCAACUGAUCAGCUUCCAUGUAAUGCAAAUGGCUUGGGUUGAACAAGGAGACUCUGAUUGCGGUGAAAGAAAAAAAAAAUUCCAGGGUUACGCUAUAGAUAUAAAGUUUAUAUCUCGACUUAUGUAUCACAUAAAUUAGCUUUAUUGAUUCCUUGUCUUUCCAUCUUAUUGUCGCAUGUCGAAUUUUAUGAGAUUCAGCAUUUAGUGUAUUAGUACAUAAAAAAUUUAUCCCCCAAUUUUGUAAGUGUAACAGAACUCAGCAUAUGAAGUAGUUUGCCAUUGUUAAUCUCACCACUGUGUUUAUUCUUAGCGUAAAUUUUGGAUCGCGUCUCUGGCGAAUUGACUGUUUUUAAAAUUUUUUGUUUUACUUUUCAAAAACUUCAGUCUACUUCAUUAUUUGGUCAAAAGAUAAAAAGGUUGGUUGAUGAAUUUCUUUGGUCUUUUCAGCAAUAAUAAGGGGUAAAUUAAGAGAGGUGUUUGAAAAUAAACAGUCCACGAGGAGAGAAAUUUGAAAUUAACCCUUAUUCCUGUUAUAUUGGAGACAAUAUGCUUAUUACUCCAAAGACUCACCUUAAGUUAAAUAUGCAUAAAUAUGAAGGACUUAAGUGAAAAUAUAUCGAUAAUGUUUCCCGCGAGCGUGGACCGAAUUUAAAAGCGAGUUUUUUGAUGUUUUGUCCUUGUUUUUAUGAUUAGACAGGCAAGACAGCCAUUUUCGUCUAUCUUAUUAAUCUCUAAUUACUGAGAAUUUUCCUUCGACAUUCUCGUGCAACGACUGCAUGGAGGAAACCAUUUUUCUUCUAAUCAUUUUCCCUGUCAUUCAAUGUCUUUGAAUUACGACACGGUUGAAAAUUAAGAAAAUGGACAUUGAAGGAAAGACAUUGCCUCGCCGUUCUAGAAGAUCAACCUUGAGCAAGGUAACUUCAUUUACUCUCCCACUUUUAUUUUUUGUUCAUAAAUUUUAAUUCCCAACUUUCUGUUGUUUAUGUUUUUGAGCAAUUUGUAGAUACACUGCGUUGGUUAUGUACUUGAAUUCAACUGCAUUUGACAUUGGCGCCGGAAAUAAACAAUUUCAGAAAUUAGAUGCAAAAUUCAGCAAGUAAUGAGAUAUCUUGAUGGGCUUGAUUGAUGAUUUAAUAUUGCUUCGUUUCUUUUAUCUUAGUUUUGGAAAGAUUUGACACUUAACUUGAUAAAGAAAGUGAGAGUAUGUUUUAUGAGCCCCUGUCUUUGUUCUUUACUACUUCAUAUGUUGACAUUUAGAGAUCCCAACCAUAAAUUCACAAAAUGUAAUGCAAAAACGUCAACUUGUUUCGUUAUUCAAAGUUUUGCUUCAACUUUAACAGCUAGAUUCAUCAGAGAAUUGAGAGCACAGAAGCUGUAAUUGAAGAGGAAUUUUCAAAGGAGUUGUCGGUAUGCUACUUGCAUUUUGAUUCAGUCUGUGGACGGCGAAAUUUUUUAUUUUCAUUUUGAAUGCAAUGUUUAUAUGGUAACUCAAGUCAGACCACCCGUUGAACAAGAACUGCCCGACAAGCAUAUUGUAAUCAUUGCAUUCAAAGAAUUCAAGAUUAAUGUGAAGAAAUGAACUCAGUAAAUCAGUUAAUUACCUUUAAUCAAUAGCUUUUCCGCAUAGGAAUCAGUACUAUAUUGAUAUCAUUGUCCAGUUUCUAAACAUAAAAGAUACUAGAUAUCAUUACUUGAUGCUUGCUCUUUGACAAAUUCUAUACUGGCAACAGAUCUUGAAAGAUGUGCAUGGUUUGAAGAAGAUGAUUAACCAUGAGGUUCCGGACUGGACAUUUUUUUUCUCAGUUUGAAAUAGGAUAUAUUUUCAGGAACUUGUUUUAGGAUAACACAAAAAGAGGGGGGGGAAAGGGUUUGAUUUUUCUAUACAGCAAAAAAAUUCAUCACUUACAUGUAAACAUUUCAUAUGAUUUUUUUUUAUCUUAUUGAUAUUGCAGAUCAAAGUUCCUUUUGGGCUCUCAACGCAAUUUGUUUUAACAUGCUCUGAUGGUUCUUCACAUCCUUUCAGUACAUACAAUGUUCGGUAAUAUACAUUACUUUAAACAAUUGAAUUUUGAAUUGAUUUCGAUACCCUUGAUUUUUUUCCCCGAAUAAAUCAUCAUUGCUUUACUUCAUCAUCCAUUGUUUUUAUCCAUGGUUUGCCUAUCUAGGAAAAGGUUACAAACAGUCAAAAUAACACAUACAGGACCUGUUUUCGAUUGGCAUUUGGCGGUAAAUAAGCAGGGUUCAAAUUCAAAGUGUAGUUACAUACACUCAAUUAAUUUUGGGGCCUUAGGCGAAUUGUUUUAAUUAGACUUUUUAAAAUAUUUGAGGUUAAAUAUAUGUAUUAGUUUCACUAAAAAGUUAUUUAUUUAAAAUCAAUUUUUCUAACUUUCUUAGGUGCAAAAUUAUUGAUCAAAUUUUUAUAUUCUAAUUUCGCUAAUAUAUUUUUCUCAAUAUAGCUAAAUCAUUUAACUUUUCUUUCGACUUAGUUGAUCUUAAAUAAGUUUUUAUCAAAUUUAAUUUUGAAAAAAUUCUUCAAUUACUAAUUCUUCAUUCUAAUUCACAUCCUUUUUACUACUUUUGACAAACUUAUCAAGAUCUCCUUUUUGGGAUCGAACUAACUUUUUUAUUCUUCUCUUUUUUUUCCCCUAGUUUUUUGUAUCUUGGUGCACAUUUUCUAUUAGACAUUUUUUUUUCUUUUUUAGUGAAAGAAGAGUAAACAAGCAAACAAUUAUGCUAGAUAAUUAAAAAAAUAACUAUAAUAUUUAAAAAAGAAACAACAACAAUUGAAUAACACAACUAAUUAAGAAGAGAAUAGGAAGAAAAAACAUGGAUAUUUGAAAUUUAACUUUGAUGGAUUGAAAUUUUAAACAACAAUGAUCAAUGGAAAUAGUUGAUUUUUUUUUUCUUAAGCAAAAAUUAAAGAAAGCUUUUUUUUCCAUUAUGCAUUAAAGCAUUGAAUGUGUCGUGCCUUUUUUCUUUUAAUUGAUAAAAAUAAUAAUGGAUAACAAGUUAACAAAUGUGUGACUUUUAUAGAGUUUUAAAUGAAAUAACAUUAAAUAGCGAUUUUGUAAGAAUUUGAUAAUUUAUUUGAGUAAAGAUUAUUAUAGAAUAAUAAUAAUAAUAAAUAUAAAUGAAUAAUUCAAUAGCUAUGAUGUUGGAGAAAAAUUUGGGGCUUUCGUAUACAAUGGAACUCUAGACAACUGUUUAAGUUGCCUAGAGGAAGAGCCGCCCCUGGUUACAUACAUUAUAUGAUUUUCGAAUUUGUUUGUGCUAUUCAUAAGAUGCAUAAAUUCAUUUUCUGCUUAGUUCCAAUUUCUUAUGCCGUACCAAGUUUCAACUUUAUUUCCUCUUUCUCUACAAGACUAUACAGUGAAAAACAUCAUUCUUAUAUAAAAUUUUAUCGCGGCUCUCUUUGCAGAAUUGUGAGGAUACAAUUCUUUGGUGCAUUGAUUAAUCUUCUAGUUUCUUUCUUGAGGCACUUGAUAUGUUUUAUUUUCUUUUCUAUUUUGUAGAAUGCGUGAGACUCUUGUGCUGACAAUGAGAAUGUUCCAAAGCCAGGUAUAGUUUUGUUUCUUUUUUCGCCCCUUAUUUGUUGGUUGAAUCGAUAUGCGUAUGCCGUCUGUUUAUUCUGACCACUGUACCAAACUGGUAUGUUUCUGGAGCAGGCGUUGGAUGACAAAAAAGAAAAAGCAUAGGGACGCUUUUCGUUCAUUCAGAGUACAGAUUUUUAGAGUCACUAUUUUUAUUUUAUUUUUGGUUUCAAUGGGGCUCUUUAGAGUCACUAUUCAUUCAUGGUAGAAUCUAAAAACGGAAGAUAAUAGAAUAGCAGCAAGGCUUUGUACCAUAGUUUAAAUUUGAUAAGGGCAUAUCCUAUUACUUUCUACAUUUUAUUGUAAUAUUACUAAAUCACAAAUAUUCUUACUUAGUAGAUAGCGCAUGAAUGAUCAAAAUGCUGUUGUUAAAUUCUACAUGUAUUGUCGCAUUAAGAAAUGAUCAAUAAAUUUUGCUUCUAGUAUUGUAUUUCACAUUUAUGAAUCAUAUAGUUUUUUUUUAAUAAGAUUUAUCGAUAGAUUAUCAAAUUAUUUAGGAUUUAAAUGCAGAGAUCACAGUUAAGAUCCCUGCAUUACUCUAAACUAAAAUUAUCAAUAAUAUGAAAUGCUCAAACCUAAUCAUAAUGAUACCAAAAUUUCAAGUAUAUAAAGGCUUUACAAAAAGAAAUCUAUGAUAAACAAUAAUAAUGAGUUUUUGCCAAUUUUUCCAAUGGACUUAUCUGAAGUUCAAUAAAUAUAAAUACUAAGGGUCUGAGCGAUAACAUGUCUCUUAUCGCGAAACGUUUCGUGGGAUUUUUUUUUCCCCCCCUAAAUUGUUUGCGGUUAAAGCUUGAGACUCAUUGACUGAGUGGGGACUGAGGAAAUUGCUCUGAACUUGCCAACGACUUGCUUUGAAAAUUGAAACGACACGAUGCAAGAAACCAUUUUUCUUCUUACCAUUUUCUCACAUUCACUAUUUUUGAAUCAAACACACAGUUGAAAGAAAUGGACAUUGAAAGAAGAUUACCUCGCCGCUCUAGGAAAAUCAAUUAUUUGAGUCACUUAUCUUCAAUCUUCAGCAAGGUGACUUCAUUUAUUCACCCUUUUUUCAUUUUAAAUUUCGCAAUCUUCAUACGGGCGAGAUAAAUUUAGUAAUUUAAUUAAUGAUGGAUGUAAUACGGUAGUGUAGAAAUACAAGUCUAACGGUAAGAUGACAGAUGGUUCAUUUUUUUUUUUUAAUACAAAUAGUUCAAAUUUUGAUUGCACAUACUAGAGCAAGAAAGAAAAAAACGAGCAGGGCAAGGUGAAAAAACUCAACCUCAGGAUGGCCCUACAAGAUAAUUUGGUCAAAUUUUUUUUGAAAAUAUUAGGAGCCAAGCCAUAGUUCGUUGUCUUCUACUGAUAGAAGUGGGAACUUUCCUGCAAUUUUAUUCUAAUUUUCUCUCCAAUUUCCUCAAAUUUUAUCUGACUAACAAGGUAUUUGAAAGGAAUGGAGCACACCUCUCUGCUCAGUCAAUAGCAGGGUAACAUAAUUUAUUCACCUAAUUUUAAUUUCUCAGUCUCUGUCAAAAUGACAGAUAUAUGUUGUUGAUCAACUAUAGUAAAUAGAAAUUAAUACCUAAUUAACUUUCUUUUGUUUAUAUUUUAAGCAGUUUUGCAUACAUAGUGUGAUUGAUUGACUGACUACAUAUAGUUGAGAAGAAAAUUUAGACACAAACCUUAGCAAGUUUCAUUUUUAGCCAGUAACUAGACAGUUUGAUGGUUGAUUGUCGUGUUUUCUUAGUCCCUUGAUUUUUCUGUAACCCACUUUUGAUGAUUGAAGAAUAACCAAGUCUCAAUUACCUAAUUACUCAAACUCCAUACUUGCCGCUGAAUGGUUUUCAGGUAGUUUAUUUGACAGGACACCUGAGUUCAAAUCUAAGGGGUGGUAGAGGCUAAAAAAUUGAUUUUGGCCUUUGCUCACACUCCUAACUUCUUAAGGAGAAAAGGAAAAUUUUCCAGACUUCUCAUACCAUCACAAGAAACCUUGCCUGUUG
RNAcentral lists this long non-coding RNA (11629 nucleotides) under Citrus x clementina. Its description in RNAcentral is "Citrus clementina (C. clementina) long non-coding RNA (CCLE_LNC003563)". The record is from RNAcentral. Lineage: Eukaryota; Viridiplantae; Streptophyta; Magnoliopsida; Sapindales; Rutaceae.